AGCACCACAACAGGUGGAGCCUGCGGUUUAAUCGGACUCAACGCCGGGAAACUCACCAGAUAAGACAGCUGAAUGAUAGUCGGGCUGAAGACUCUACUUGACUAGCUGAGAGGAGGUGCAUGGCCGUCGUCAGUUCGUACUGUGAAGCAUCCUGUUAAGUCAGGCAACGAGCGAGACCCACGCCAACAGUUGCCAGCUCGUCCUCCGGGAUGGAGGGGACACUGUUGGGACCGCCUCUGCUAAAGAGGAGGAAGGAAUGGGCAACGGUAGGUCAGCAUGCCCCGAAUUAUCCGGGCUACACGCGGGCUACAAUGGUCAGGACAAUGGGUAUCGACACCGAGAGGUGGAGGCAAUCUCCUAAACCUGUCCUUAGUUCGGAUUGUGGGCUGCAACUCGCCCGCAUGAAGCUGGAAUCCGUAGUAAUCGCGUUUCAAAAUAGCGCGGUGAAUAUGUCCCUGCUCCUU
RNAcentral lists this ribosomal RNA (464 nucleotides) under uncultured Methanolinea sp. Its description in RNAcentral is "bacterial SSU rRNA". It matches the Rfam family "Archaeal small subunit ribosomal RNA", at positions 875 to 1338 of the family's 1478-position model. The record is from RNAcentral. Lineage: Archaea; Methanobacteriati; Methanobacteriota; Methanomicrobia; Methanomicrobiales; Methanoregulaceae.